This 484-nucleotide ribosomal RNA is filed under the name Symbiodinium sp. Cg6.8. Its description in RNAcentral is "LSU rRNA". It matches the Rfam family "Eukaryotic large subunit ribosomal RNA", at positions 114 to 600 of the family's 3401-position model. The record is from RNAcentral. Lineage: Eukaryota; Dinophyceae; Suessiales; Symbiodiniaceae.
UUGGAAACCAAGGCAUCUGCCUUGGAUUGUGGCCUUUAGACAUUGUACCAACGGCGGCGCGAGUGUAAGCCUCUUGGAAUAGAGCGUCUACCUGGGUGAGAAUCCUGUGUUUCGCUUGAUGUCCGCCGUGCACGGUACUUGCUCACAGAGUCACGCUCCUCGGAAUUGGAGCGUAAAUUGGGUGGUAAAUUUCAUCUAAAGCUAAAUACAGGCUCGAGACCGAUAGCAAACAAGUACCAUGAGGGAAAGAUGAAAAGGACUUUGAAAAGAGAGUUAAAAGUGUUUGAAAUCGCUGAACUGGAAGCGAAUGGAACUAGUGCUCUGGCUUGAGAUUGCUGUAAGUGGCAGCCAAAUUUGGGUGUCUGAACGCAAGUCUCUCACCUGGCUGUAAGCUGUUGCUUGCAAUGUGUCUCAGCUUGAAUGUCAAUGUCUAUGCGCGCAUGAGGAUGGCCUCUGGCUCAUGCUAUCUUGCUGCGGUGAGAUU